UCGGGUGUGGGGUAAUUUGGGAACCCGCGUGGCCUGGGACCACGAGAUUGUCGGUUCAAAUCCGAUCACCCGGA
This 74-nucleotide transfer RNA is filed under the name Planctomycetota bacterium. Its description in RNAcentral is "tRNA-Pro". It matches the Rfam family "tRNA". From Rfam's summary of the family: Transfer RNA (tRNA) molecules are approximately 80 nucleotides in length. Their secondary structure includes four short double-helical elements and three loops (D, anti-codon, and T loops). Lineage: Bacteria; Pseudomonadati; Planctomycetota. The record is from RNAcentral.